AUGCAAAUAUUUCCUCGGGCCAGACGAAAAUUGAUCCUCAAGUGCAAAGGCAGAAGGGAGCUUGACUGCAAGAUCCACUUGUCAAGUAGGGAUGAAAGUCGGCCUUAGUGAUCUGACGAUGCUGAGUGGAAGGGCCAUCACUCAAU
Picea glauca (white spruce) is the source of this 146-nucleotide non-coding RNA. The record is from Rfam. Lineage: Eukaryota; Viridiplantae; Streptophyta; Pinopsida; Pinales; Pinaceae.